Molecule: ribosomal RNA, 496 nt
Filed under: uncultured bacterium
Lineage: Bacteria
Description: partial 16S ribosomal RNA
Rfam family: Bacterial small subunit ribosomal RNA
Source: RNAcentral
GAUGAACGCUGGCGGCGUGCCUAAUACAUGCAAGUCGAGCGAACGGACGAGAAGCUUGCUUCUCUGAUGUUAGCGGCGGACGGGUGAGUAACACGUGGAUAACCUACCUAUAAGACUGGGAUAACUUCGGGAAACCGGAGCUAAUACCGGAUGAUAUUUUGAACCGCAUGGUUCAAAAGUGAAAGACGGUCUUGCUGUCACUUAUAGAUGGAUCCGCGCUGCAUUAGCUAGUUGGUAAGGUAACGGCUUACCAAGGCAACGAUGCAUAGCCGACCUGAGAGGGGAAUGGGCCCCACGGAACGUGAACCACGGCCCGAACCCUAAGGGAGGGCGCAGGAGGGAAAUCUUCGGCAAUGGGCGAAAGCCGAACGAGGCACCGCGGGGGAGGUGAUGAGGUCCUUCGGUUGGAAAACUCUGUUAUUAGGGAAGAACAUAUGUGUAAGUAACUGUGCACAUCUUGACGGUACCUAAUCAGAAAGCCACGGCUAACUACGUG